RNAcentral lists this ribosomal RNA (734 nucleotides) under Chryseobacterium sp. Its description in RNAcentral is "bacterial SSU rRNA". It matches the Rfam family "Bacterial small subunit ribosomal RNA", at positions 94 to 827 of the family's 1533-position model. Lineage: Bacteria; Pseudomonadati; Bacteroidota; Flavobacteriia; Flavobacteriales; Weeksellaceae. The record is from RNAcentral.
AGCGGCGCACGGGUGCGGAACACGUGUGCAACCUGCCUUUAUCUGGGGGAUAGCCUUUCGAAAGGAAGAUUAAUACCCCAUAAUAUAUUGACUGGCAUCAGUUGAUAUUGAAAACUCCGGUGGAUAGAGAUGGGCACGCGCAAGAUUAGAUAGUUGGUGAGGUAACGGCUCACCAAGUCUGCGAUCUUUAGGGGGCCUGAGAGGGUGAUCCCCCACACUGGUACUGAGACACGGACCAGACUCCUACGGGAGGCAGCAGUGAGGAAUAUUGGACAAUGGGUGAGAGCCUGAUCCAGCCAUCCCGCGUGAAGGACGACGGCCCUAUGGGUUGUAAACUUCUUUUGUAUAGGGAUAAACCUAGAUACGUGUAUCUAGCUGAAGGUACUAUACGAAUAAGCACCGGCUAACUCCGUGCCAGCAGCCGCGGUAAUACGGAGGGUGCAAGCGUUAUCCGGAUUUAUUGGGUUUAAAGGGUCCGUAGGCGGAUCUGUAAGUCAGUGGUGAAAUCUCACAGCUUAACUGUGAAACUGCCAUUGAUACUGCAGGUCUUGAGUGUUGUUGAAGUAGCUGGAAUAAGUAGUGUAGCGGUGAAAUGCAUAGAUAUUACUUAGAACACCAAUUGCGAAGGCAGGUUACUAAGCAACAACUGACGCUGAUGGACGAAAGCGUGGGGAGCGAACAGGAUUAGAUACCCUGGUAGUCCACGCCGUAAACGAUGCUAACUCGUUUUUGGA